UUUCCCAAAGUCCAACCUCUAACUCCGCCCCUAUGAGCCAAUUGGUCCACAGAAUAUGACGUGUGCUCUCUGCACCGAAGCACACUAACGCAGGCUCUUGGAUGCAAGAGCGGGAAAUUUGAAUUUAAGUUGCUGUAAUGGAGGACGAGCGAAGGAGCUAGCGGGGAUAAUGGACGGUCAUUCAACUCGUGGCUGCUGAUGAGAUGAUUUGGGAAACAGCCCCUUGUCAUGAGCAGAAUGUUGAAGGGCCCACCCCAGCUCACCUUGUGCAGAAGAACACACCAACACACCCCUUAAUAGAAGGGUGGUGUGGCUCCCUCGUGUGACACACUGGCACACAUUUGGGAAAGGAGGGAAGGUUCGCCUAUUUUGCUGUCAUGAAGAGCCCUGCAGCUGGACCUGACCAAAAGCUCAACAAUAGUUUAAAUUAGAGUCAGUCUUUAAUGCCAUAGUUGUUCAUGGCUGUGCUAAUGCACUCAUGCAUUACUCAAACACAGAAAGCAGUCCCCUCCACAGCAGAUCAUUCAGGUGGGCAUUUUCUUGAGCAAUCCAAACUGCUGCUCCCAUUUUUUCAGUGUUUAUGAUACUUUCUUUGCUGCAAUAAUUACCGGAGCGCAUUUUUGUUAAGCAUUGAGAAUAAAACAAUUUCGGAAAGAA
Molecule: long non-coding RNA, 657 nt
Organism: Rhineura floridana
Lineage: Eukaryota; Metazoa; Chordata; Lepidosauria; Squamata; Rhineuridae
Exons: 2
Source: RefSeq, a predicted model, not a curated record